UACGUAGGGUGCAAGCGUCAAUCGGAAUUACUGGGCGUAAAGCGUGCGCAGGCGGUUUUGUAAGACAGGCGUGAAAUCCCCGGGCUUAACCUGGGAAUGGCGCUUGUGACUGCAAAGCUGGAGUGCGGCAGAGGGGGAUGGAAUUCCGCGUGUAGCAGUGAAAUGCGUAGAUAUGCGGAGGAACACCGAUGGCGAAGGCAAUCCCCUGGGCCUGCACUGACGCUCAUGCACGAAAGCGUGGGGAGCAAACAGG
Molecule: ribosomal RNA, 253 nt
Filed under: uncultured bacterium
Lineage: Bacteria
Description: partial 16S ribosomal RNA
Rfam family: Bacterial small subunit ribosomal RNA
Source: RNAcentral